UUUAAGUGCAGUUGUGGUUUUUUUGUUUCCAAUGUUUAACCAUCCAUCUUAUUUGAUAUUUUUUAUGAUUAGUAUUUUUAUUGCUAUUAGAUAAUAAAGCAUCACUAGUACUUUAAGCGUGUCUUAUUUUUUUUCAAUUUUUUCAUAAUUUUUCAAAUAAGACGGACGAGCAAACGUUGGACACAGAAAUCAACAACUACAUUUAAA
Molecule: microRNA precursor, 207 nt
Organism: Oryza rufipogon (brownbeard rice)
Lineage: Eukaryota; Viridiplantae; Streptophyta; Magnoliopsida; Poales; Poaceae
Rfam family: MIR812 microRNA precursor family
Source: Rfam